AUCCCUGUAGCCUAAAGGAGAGGCAGCAGAUUUCCAAUCUGCUUCAUGUAGGUUAAAUCCUAUCAGGGAUGCCA
Molecule: transfer RNA, 74 nt
Filed under: Alkaliphilus sp. B6464
Lineage: Bacteria; Bacillati; Bacillota; Clostridia; Peptostreptococcales; Natronincolaceae
Description: tRNA-Gly
Rfam family: tRNA
About the family: Transfer RNA (tRNA) molecules are approximately 80 nucleotides in length. Their secondary structure includes four short double-helical elements and three loops (D, anti-codon, and T loops). Further hydrogen bonds mediate the characteristic L-shaped molecular structure. tRNAs have two regions of fundamental functional importance: the anti-codon, which is responsible for specific mRNA codon recognition, and the 3' end, to which the tRNAs corresponding amino acid is attached (by aminoacyl-tRNA synthetases). tRNAs cope with the degeneracy of the genetic code in two manners: having more than one tRNA (with a specific anti-codon) for a particular amino acid; and 'wobble' base-pairing, i.e. permitting non-standard base-pairing at the 3rd anti-codon position.
Source: RNAcentral